GGUGAGAUGGCCGAGCGGUCUAAGGCGCCAGACUAAGGAACAACCAGGAUAUUUGAUAUCUACCGGGCACGCAACCCACCAAAUCUGGUCCUCCGGGGCGUGGGUUCGAAUCCCACUCUCAUCA
Non-coding RNA from Psilocybe cubensis, 124 nucleotides. The record is from the annotation of a RefSeq genome assembly. Lineage: Eukaryota; Fungi; Basidiomycota; Agaricomycetes; Agaricales; Agrocybaceae.